This 201-nucleotide unclassified non-coding RNA is filed under the name uncultured Tricholoma. RNAcentral describes it as "sequence contains ITS2". Lineage: Eukaryota; Fungi; Basidiomycota; Agaricomycetes; Agaricales; Tricholomataceae. The record is from RNAcentral.
AAUUCUCAACCUUUUCAACUUUUUUCAAAAGUUGGAUAAGGCUUGGAUAGUGGGAGUGUCUGCGGGCUUCUCAGAAGUCUGCUCUCCUUAAAUGUAUUAGCAGGAUCCUUGUAUUGCUUUUGGUGUGAUAAUUAUCUACGCCAUAACAUGACAGGUGGAUAUACUGCUUCUAACCGUCUCGAUCAUGAGACAGCUUUGACA